UGGGGAAUUUUGGACAAUGGGGGAAACCCUUAUCCAGCCAUCCCGCGUGUGCGAUGAAGGCCUUCGGGUUGUAAAGCACUUUUGGCAGGAAAGAAACGUCAUGGGUUAAUACCCCGUGAAACUGACGGUACCUGCAGAAUAAGCACCGGCUAACUACGUGCCAGCAGCCGCGGUAAUACGUAGGGUGCAAGCGUUAAUCGGAAUUACUGGGCGUAAAGCGUGCGCAGGCGGUUCGGAAAGAAAGAUGUGAAAUCCCAGAGCUCAACUUUGGAACUGCAUUUUUAACUACCGGGCUAGAGUGUGUCAGAGGGAGGUGGAAUUCCGCGUGUAGCAGUGAAAUGCGUAGAUAUGCGGAGGAACACCGAUGGCGAAGGCAGCCUCCUGGGAUAACACUGACGCUCAUGCACGAAAGCGUGGGGAGCAAACAGG
Molecule: ribosomal RNA, 429 nt
Filed under: Acidobacteriota bacterium
Lineage: Bacteria; Pseudomonadati; Acidobacteriota
Description: Acidobacteria bacterium partial 16S ribosomal RNA
Rfam family: Bacterial small subunit ribosomal RNA
Source: RNAcentral